Unclassified non-coding RNA from Cercocebus atys (sooty mangabey), 344 nucleotides. Its record names the gene 7SK. It matches the Rfam family "7SK RNA". From Rfam's summary of the family: 7SK was discovered as an abundant small nuclear RNA in the mid-70s but a possible function has only recently been suggested. Two independent studies have found that 7SK RNA binds the CDK9/cyclin T complex (known as elongation factor P-TEFb). P-TEFb activates transcription by phosphorylating the C-terminal domain of RNA polymerase II. NCBI's taxonomy places the organism in Eukaryota, Metazoa, Chordata, Mammalia, Primates, Cercopithecidae. The record is from Ensembl.
GGAUGUGAGGGUGACCUGGCUGCGACAUCUGUCACCCCAUCGAUCAUCAGAGUUUAUUCGGCUGAUCUGGCUGGCUAGGUGGGAGUCCCCUUCCUCCCUCACCACUCCAUGUGCAUCCCUGCCAAAGCUGCACGCUUGGUCGAAGAGGAUGACCAUCCCUAACAGAGGAGUACCAGUCUUUGGUCAAGCAUAUACGAGUAGCUGUACUCCCCUGCUAGAACCUCCAAACAAGCUCUCAAGAAUGAAUAAGACCUAUUAUUAGACAGUACAAUUGGGUGACUAAAGUCAAUAACAACUUAAUCAUACAUUUUAAAAUAAAGAGUGGAAUUUAUUUGUUUGCAACU